UGAUCAUGGCUCAGGACGAACGCUGGCGGUGUGCUUCACACAUGCAAGUCGAACGAGGUAGCAAUACCUAGUGGCGGACGGGCGAGUAACGCGUGGGAAUCUGCCUUUAGAUGGGGGAUAACGAGCCGAAAGGUUCGCUAAUACCGCAUAGGUCGCAAGAUUAAAGGAGUAAUCCGUCUAGAGAUGAGCCCGCGUCCGAUUAGCUAGUUGGUAGGGUAAAGGCCUACCAAGGCGACGAUCGGUAGCUGGUCUGAGAGGAUGAUCAGCCACAAUGGGACUGAGACACGGCCCAUACUCCUACGGGAGGCAGCAGUGGGGAAUUUUACGCAAUGGGCGAAAGCCUGACGUAGCGACACCGCGUGAGCGAAGAAGCCCUUUGGGGUGUAAAGCUCUGUCGGCUGGAACGAAAAAAAUGACGGUACCAGCAAAGGAAGCAUCGGCUAACUACGUGCCAGCAGCCGCGGUAAGACGUAGGAUGCGAGCGUUGUCCGGAUUUAUUGGGCGUAAAGAGUUCGUAGGUGGCUUGUCAAGUUUGAUGUUAAAGAUCGGGGCUCAACCCUGGGACUGCAUUGAAUACUGGCAGGCUUGAGUGUGGUAGAGGCUAGUGGAAUUCCCAGUGUAGCGGUGAAAUGCGUAGAUAUUGGGAAGAACACCGGUGGCGUAGGCGACUAGCUGGGCCAUAACUGACACUGAGGAACGAAAGCCAGGGUAGCGAAUGGGAUUAGAUACCCCAGUAGUCCUGGCCGUAAACGAUGGAUACUAGGCGUAUCGGGUAUCGACCCCUGAUGUGCCGCAGCUAACGCGAUAAGUAUCCCGCCUGAGUAGUACGGCCGCAAGGUUGAAACUCAAAGGAAUUGACGG
RNAcentral lists this ribosomal RNA (861 nucleotides) under uncultured bacterium. RNAcentral's name for it is "bacterial SSU rRNA". It matches the Rfam family "Bacterial small subunit ribosomal RNA", at positions 14 to 916 of the family's 1533-position model. The record is from RNAcentral.